CCUGAUUACGUGAAUCAAAACCAUGUGUUAGGCUACAGCUUAGAAUUAGCUCCAGGCAUUAUAUUGAUUGGCUGGACAGCUAACAAUAGCUCCAUCGAAUCACAGCCACAAUUAGGGCGGACAUUUCAAGAUAUAAAGUAAUGGCGACGGGAGAUCCUUCAAAGGAAUGUGGCGUCUGUUGCGAGGAUUAUGACCAGGACAUCCGCUGCCCAAGGAUUCUCAAGUGUUAUCACACGCUCUGCACUGACUGCAUCAGUCGUUCCAUCAGGAGCAACAAUCAGCGAUGCCCCUUCUGUCGGAGGCCCUUCAGAGUAAAUACUGCCCACGAAGUCACGGUAAACCAAGCUGCCCUCGAUCUGGUUAAGUUUAUCUCUAUUCAAGAAUCUAAUUCAAAGUCAGACGAGAACAGAUGUUAUGCUUGCAAAUCUUGCAGCCCUGAUCCCGUAGUAGAGAUGAAUGAAACGUGUGGCGAGCUCCUCAUGCAAUGCACAGCGUCCCAAAAACAAGUAGCUAACAUCCUUAAGUACAUUGAGGAAUUGCAUGGAGACAUCAAACAAGAAAAGAGCUUCACAGAAAAUUCUACUUUACUCCAUAGUGAAAAAAUUUCUCGCAUCGAAAGGUCAGAAACACGACUGCAGAAGGCUGACUAUUGCCUGAGGAUUCAACUGAAAGAAGUGGAAUCCAAGAUAAAUGAAUUACAAGUCAUGAAAGCAAGACUGGGCGAUUUCUUAGCUAAUAAACAGAUGAAGAGUAGCAGCAUGAAGGAAGAAGCCGAGGGGAUGGUCUCUGAUGUUCAAAAGUGGCUGCUGAAUUUCAAGAAGCAGUUGGCAGAAGGAGGAGAAAUCCGCUCAACAAUAAAGGAAAUUGAGGAGAGAGACGCAGUGGAUGUAGCAGCAGACACUUGCGAACUGAAUGGAAAGGACGGCGUUAAGGACUCUCUACUAAUGAAUACAGCAGCUCUUUCUUUACAGGGCGACUUCUGCAAACAAUCUCUGAGGAUCUGUGUCUCGUCUAAGCUUUUCCUGGUGGAAAACAAAAUGCAUUCUCCCCUAACACUUUUCCUUGAUGCCAGGGGAUCGGUGAUACAACUGACAAUAAGGAGAUCAUCGUCUUGGAAGUUCUCAACCAGAACAGGGAUGACAGCAACUUCGAAGAUCCAAACCUCGCGUCAAAGUUUAUAGCUGCCUUGACUUUCCAAAAGGAGGUCGAUGGUCAUAAAGAUAUGGAAGAGACGCCUAUUUUUGAGGAAAGCCGCCUGAAACGACUGCUGGACCAGAGCAGAUUGUUUGCCACCCAGACAUUCCGAGGAAAAAGAUUCAACGACGAUGUAAUCAAAGAUUACAGUAAUCUUUGCUUACACCAGGAGCUGUUUGAUUUCAGUAAACCAAAUGAAGACCAAACAACUGACGGAUUCAUAAUCCUUUGAUUAAAGAGAAAAGAAAAUGGAAAGGGAAUGUGAAAUCAUUCAUACAAAUAAGGAGCAACAGGGAUAAUAGGCAACAAAACAAUUAAAAGAAAAUAAUGGAAGGAGGAAUAGAUGAAGUUUGCUUGAAAAAAAAAGGCAGACACAUAAUUAAAUAUUAAUUAUAUGUAUUCACCAUAAGACACUUAAAUUAUAUGUACUCAUCAUAAGACACUUAAAAUGCUUCUAUAUUUUCAUUUUCAUUGUAAUUACUCGGAAUUUCAUGAGAUCACGUUUUGUGCAUAACUAAAUCGUCUUUUAACAGUUACAUUAACUUGUGAAUUAUCAUCCUAUGGUGGUCAUAAUAAAAAAUUAUACCUAUGUUAAUAG
Macrobrachium nipponense is the source of this 1792-nucleotide RNA transcript. It is a transcript of the gene named E3 ubiquitin-protein ligase TRIM32-like, with no coding region annotated. The transcript is spliced from 6 exons. The record is from RefSeq and is a predicted model, not a curated record. Lineage: Eukaryota; Metazoa; Arthropoda; Malacostraca; Decapoda; Palaemonidae.